RNAcentral lists this transfer-messenger RNA (338 nucleotides) under Fictibacillus arsenicus. It matches the Rfam family "transfer-messenger RNA". From Rfam's summary of the family: Bacterial tmRNA, also known as 10Sa RNA or SsrA, is named for its dual tRNA and mRNA-like properties. RNAcentral also lists the same sequence under 2 other names. The record is from RNAcentral. Lineage: Bacteria; Bacillati; Bacillota; Bacilli; Caryophanales; Fictibacillaceae.
UACGGAUUCGACAGGGGUAGUUUGAGCUUAAGUUGCGAGUCGAGGGGGUCGGCCUCGUUAAAACGCCAAAGCCAAUAACUGGCAAAACAAACAACAACUUAGCUUUAGCUGCGUAAUAGCACUUUAGCUGUUCCUCCCUCCAUCGCCCAUGUGGUAGGGUAAGGGACUCACUCUUAGUGGGCUACGCCGGUUGUCCUCCGCCUGAGGACGAUGGAAGAGAAUAAUCAGGCUAGCGAUCUGGACGCCUGUCGGCUGGCAGAUGGAUUCGCGAAACGCGAAUAAACCGACUACACUCGUAGAAGCUUAAGUGCCAAUAUCUUUGGACGUGGGUUCGAUUA